AAACUAGAGGCUCUAAAGAGCCUGUGUCGCUCACCUUGGUCUAUUUGAAUAUUAGGUCUAUGUGAAUAUUAAACAAGGGACACAUAUGGAUUUAUGACAAAAUUGUGUUUUGGUGAUGGUGAUGUGUUUGUAGAUCUAAAUUUACUAAACAUUCUUGCUACUUACAAUUAUCUCAAUCUAUAAUGAACUUGGACCAGUAGUUUCAGUGGAAAUUAUUAGUGAAAAUCUACAAAUUUUAUGAAAAUUAUUAAAAAUUGACUAUGAAGGGCAAUAACUCCUUAGGGGUCAAUUGACCAUUUUGGUAAUGUUGACUUAUUUUUAGGUCUUACUUUGCUGUACAUUAUUGCUGUUUACAGUUUAUCUCUAUCUAUAA
Molecule: long non-coding RNA, 373 nt
Filed under: Mytilus galloprovincialis (Mediterranean mussel)
Lineage: Eukaryota; Metazoa; Mollusca; Bivalvia; Mytilida; Mytilidae
Source: RNAcentral